GUGGCCCUCGUGCCAAUAAGUAUGUGCCAAACAGGAAUUUGGGUCGGUGGUUCAACUGGUCGGGGGGAUCACAAGGGACAGAAGGACCACAAGGAACUCAAUGAACUCAAGGAGCUCAAGGGUCUCAAGGAACACAAGAAAACUUUUGACAAGUUGGUGAAACCUGCGUUAUAUGAUAUAGAUUAAACUUUGCAACUUUGCAUCACGUUGGUGAAACCUGUGUUAUAUGAUUGUAAAAGUUGGUGAACCCUUCGUUAUAUUGUUGAUGAUUUAGAGUAACUGAUGAUUUAGAUUAAACUUUGCAUCGCCUUACUUAUUCAUACUUUAUCCAUUUGAUAAUGAUUUCAAUGCAGAAUUUAAAAUUCCGGAUCAUAUUAAAUG
Molecule: long non-coding RNA, 381 nt
Filed under: Brassica napus (rape)
Lineage: Eukaryota; Viridiplantae; Streptophyta; Magnoliopsida; Brassicales; Brassicaceae
Description: long non-coding RNA (BNAP_LNC011625)
Source: RNAcentral